AUUAGUCGACGUGCGGGUGCAUGAAGUUUGUAGUACUUCAAGUAGCCAGUGUCACAAAAAUGGCUAUUACUGUGGAGUAAUCAACAACUAGCUGAUUGUUUUUGCUGAGUAUAUCCAUGCUUUUGUCAUGUCAGGCUAUCAUUUUGCUAGCUUGUGCUUGAAAAAAUGAGUUCUUCGUUAAUUGCGUAUCGUGGAUUAAGAGUGAAUGCAUCACUCUUUCAUGGUGCUUUCACUGACUAAGUUUCGAAGGGUCUAGUUAACAUGCUAACUGCAAGUAGAAAUAACUAAU
Molecule: long non-coding RNA, 289 nt
Filed under: Eucalyptus grandis
Lineage: Eukaryota; Viridiplantae; Streptophyta; Magnoliopsida; Myrtales; Myrtaceae
Description: long non-coding RNA (EGRA_LNC007853)
Source: RNAcentral